Prosopis cineraria is the source of this 3202-nucleotide RNA transcript. It is a transcript of the gene named sphingoid long-chain bases kinase 2, mitochondrial-like, with no coding region annotated. NCBI's taxonomy places the organism in Eukaryota, Viridiplantae, Streptophyta, Magnoliopsida, Fabales, Fabaceae. The record is from RefSeq and is a predicted model, not a curated record. The transcript is spliced from 7 exons.
UCACUUUAAAUAUUAUGUCACAGAUAAGUAAUUUGUUUAGACAAUUUGGAAGUAAUUCAAGUGAUUAAAAAAAAAAGUGAUAAAAAUGGAAUGUGAAUAGUGACUAUAAUUUGAACCCUUUUAAUGUAGUGAAAAAAGUACUCAUCAACAUACAUAAGAUCUUUAUGAAUUAAAUUCUUCUGGUUUGUCAUGGAAGUUUCUCAGCUUAAGAAUUAAGAUCUUCACAAGUUUAAAAUAAAAUAGACUUGGAAAGACUUUAAGGCUAAGGAAAGAAAUGAGCGUUGCAUUAUUACGCAAAUUAUUGCUUAUCUUUGAUCUUUGAUCUUUGAUAGUGCUGUCUGCCCGUGUAAAGUUGAAGAUUUGCAUCUAAUGGGUAUGUUGGACUGACGUGGAUUGCGGUUUCUUUUUUAUUCUACUAUUCAAAAGUUUAAGUUACUGUAGUCAAAUUUCAGAACUCACUCGGUAAGGCCUCUCACGGUUCCAAAAACCAAAGAAAGAAAAGUAAAAAAUGAAAGUGCUAUUAUUUCAGUUUAAAAACAAGACAUUUUUAAUUGCUUUAUAAGAAUUAAGAAAAAUAGAUAAAAGUGAUCUGCAUCAUUAAAAUUGUAAAAAUUAUCUCUAUUUUCAAGAUUAAUAUCCAAUUAAAAUCAAUUUAUCUUAAUUGCAUUUAAUUUCUUUUUACAAUGUAAUUAAUAAGGACAUUUGUGAGAAAGAAUUUAAUGUUAUCAAUUUUUAAAAAGUAUCUUAUAUUUUAGACCAACAUUAAUAAAAAAAAUUGUCAUAUUUUUUGGAAGGGAGGAAGUAUAAAUUAUUCGGGUCCUGGUAUUAACAUUUAACAAUGGGAUUUGGAAAGUUAUUGCACAUAAAUCUUCAAAACCAUGAACUUUAUAUAUAUAUAUAUAUAUAUUAACCAUGGGUUAAUGAAUAUAACUAAUCGGGUGGUUUGAGCAAUGCAGUCAUGUUGCCCACUUCACUUGUUUGGGCAAAUGCAAAUCUUGUAUCCACCAAAUUUGUUAUUGUUAAAUUAAUUUGUUAAUUUAAUGUCCGAACUGCAAUAUCAAUGGAAGGACUCGCUGACGUGUGUUCCCUGUUUCCUAUAUCCUCAUCGUUAGUAACUGCUACCCCCGCAUUCAAGGCGUUGCCUCUGCAUCGUUACUCGUAUCUUCUCUCUCCUUAGAGAUCGAUUGCUUGAAGAAUCCAAACGCAAAGGCAAAGCAGAACUCUUGCAAGAGCCAUGAUAUGAAUGAAGAUUUGCGGUUUAUCGGAUAUCAUCCCCUUCAAAAUUAGUAAAAGUUAGUUGUGAUGUAAUUCUAAUCGUAAUAGUAAUACUAAUUAAUAAUUGUUGGAUAUAUUUUCUUUCACUGACACAUGGGUGUCAUAGUUUUCGUCUUCGAAGCGACUAUUUUCAGAGUCAGGUUGCGGCAUUGGGAAGCGGAAUGCCCAUGGCUAAACCCUCGCUUUUCAGAUCAGAGCUCCCGCCAAUGGCCCCGGAUCUCUCCUCGGAACGCUUCCGUGGGGUUGGUUCCUCCUCCUCGUCACGACAACGCGACCUCGUGUUUGUCGUCAAUCCUCGAGGCGCUAAUGGUCGGACGGGUAAAGAGUGGAAGCAGCUUCUUCCAUAUCUACAGUCACGCUUUGGUAAAGAAUGCAAUAUAUGCGAAUCCUUAACUUCAGGUCCUUGCCAUGCUAUUGACAUUACGAGAGAGGCUAUACGGGAGGGGGCUGAUGCAGUCGUUGCGGUCGGAGGUGAUGGAACUCUUCAUGAGGUGCUAACGUUUUCUGCAUGCUUUCUUUUUUUCCUUCUAUGUAUGCUCUUCGCAGAUGAUAUAGUUCUUAUAGCAGAAACAAGAGAAGAGGUUAAUUGCAAACUUGAGUUAUGGAGGAGGACAUUGGAGUCGAAAGGUUUUCGUCUGAGUAGAAAUAAGACGGAAUAUUUAUAUUGUAAAUUUGGUAAAGGACUAUUCGAAAAUAAUUUGGAAGUGAAAUUGGGAGAUCAAAUUAUACCUCAAGUGGAAAAGUUUAGAUAUUUGGGAGCCAUUAUUCAAAAUGAUGGCGAAAUCAGUGGAGAUAUUUCACAUAGAAUUCAAGCUGGGUGGUUUAAUUGGAGAAAAGCUAAAGGAGUUAUUUGUGACCGUAAGGUGCCUAAUAAACUUAAAGGAAAGUUUUAUCGUACUGCUAUCAGACCGGCAAUGUUAUAUAGUAGUGAAUGCUGGGCUCUAACGGGACAGCAAGAGCAUAAAGUUGGAGUAGCAGAGAUGAGAAUGUUACGAUGGAUGUGCGGACAUACACGUAAAGAUAAAAUUCGAAAUGAGCACAUACGUGAAAAAGUGAGGGUGGCACCUAUUGAGGAAAAAAUGGUAGAAAAUCGGUUGAGAUGGUUUGGGCAUGUACAAAGAAGACCAAGGGAGGCACCAGUGAGAAGAGUGGAACAUAUAACUUUGAGUCCGAUUAAGAGAGGUAGAGGAAGGCCUAAGAGAACACUCUUGGAAGUUGUUGAACAUGAUCUCUUAAUUAAUAAUAUUUCUAAAAGCUUAAUAAAUGAUAGAGUACAAUGGCGUCUUGCAAUCCAUGUAGCCGACCCCACCUAGUGGGAUAAAGGCUUGUUGUUGUUGUUGUUGUUGUUUUCUUUUUUUCCUUCUAUACGAGUUUCUUUAGCGUCAGCCCCCCUCUUUUGUUUUCUGUAUGUUUAACUUGAGUAUGUAGACUGAUGAUCUAAAUCGAUGGAUUGCUUGUCAUUCAUUCAAAUUACUACACAAUCAGGGUCGGAAGCAAAAUCAUUUUGUAAUUUGUCUUGUCUGAAUUGGUCUGUUCUAAAAUCUUUUCAUUGGGUUGCUAAUAUUUAGAUGGUAUUCUGCACCACUGUUUCUGGAAUUUCAACAUCCUUGUUAUCUCGUAGAAUUUGAUUUGAUAGAAUUCUCUUCACUCACUACGACUUAAGCAGGUUGUUAAUGGUUUCUUCUGGGCUGGAAAGCCUGUUGCCAGUCAUGUUAAAGAGCCUUCACAUUCAACUGCUCUUGGUCAGAAGAUAUAACUAUGUUCUGCCUUUGUACAGCUCAUUCCCCUGGGUACUGGUUCUGAUUUUGCAAGAACAUUUGGGUGGAAAAAUGAUCCUUACGAAGCCAUUGAACGCAUUUCUAAAGGGGUGAGAUCAAGGAUAGAUGUUGGUGUCAUCACUGGAGAAAAUGGAGAAGAUCACUACUUC